Molecule: ribosomal RNA, 272 nt
Filed under: uncultured bacterium
Lineage: Bacteria
Description: partial 16S ribosomal RNA
Rfam family: Bacterial small subunit ribosomal RNA
Source: RNAcentral
UACGUAGGGUGCGAGCGUUAAUCGGAAUUACUGGGCGUAAAGCGUGCGCAGGCGGUUAUAUAAGACAGAUGUGAAAUCCCCGGGCUCAACCUGGGCACUGCAUUUGUGACUGUAUAGCUAGAGUACGGUAGAGGGGGAUGGAAUUCCGCGUGUAGCAGUGAAAUGCGUAGAUAUGCGGAGGAACACCGAUGGCGAAGGCAAUCCCCUGGACCUGUACUGACGCUCAUGCACGAAAGCGUGUGGGGAAAACAGCAUUAGAUGGCCGGUAGUCC